RNAcentral lists this ribosomal RNA (88 nucleotides) under Actinomycetota bacterium. RNAcentral's name for it is "partial 23S ribosomal RNA". It matches the Rfam family "Bacterial large subunit ribosomal RNA", at positions 1 to 88 of the family's 2925-position model. The record is from RNAcentral. Lineage: Bacteria; Bacillati; Actinomycetota.
UGCCAAGCUGAUAAGGGCGUACGGUGGAUGCCUAGGCGCUAGGAGCCGACGAAGGACGCGGUAGGCUGCGAAAAGCUCGGGGGAGGAG